GAAACGGGUUAAUAUUCCCGUACUUGGUGUUACUGCGAAGGGGGGACGGAGAAGGCUAUGUUGGCCGGGCGACGGUUGUCCCGGUUUAAGCGUGUAGGUGUGUGUUCCAGGUAAAUCCGGUUCACUUUAACACUGAGGCGUGACGACGAGGCACUACGGUGCUGAAGCAACAAAUGCCCUGCUUCCAGGAAAAGCCUCUAAGCAUCAGGUAACAUCAAAUCGUACCCCAAACCGACACAGGUGGUCAGGUAGAGAAUACCAAGGCGCUUGAGAGAACUCGGGUGAAGGAACUAGGCAAAAUGGUGCCGUAACUUCGGGAGAAGGCACGCUGACACGUAGGUGAAGUGAUUUACUCAUGGAGCUGAAGUCAGUCGAAGAUACCAGCUGGCUGCAACUGUUUAUUAAAAACACAGCACUGUGCAAACACGAAAGUGGACGUAUACGGUGUGACGCCUGCCCGGUGCCGGAAGGUUAAUUGAUGGGGUCAGCGCAAGCGAAGCUCCUGAUCGAAGCCCCGGUAAACGGCGGCCGUAACUAUAACGGUCCUAAGGUAGCGAAAUUCCUUGUCGGGUAAGUUCCGACCUGCACGAAUGGCGUAAUGAUGGCCAGGCUGUCUCCACCCGAGACUCAGUGAAAUUGAACUCGCUGUGAAGAUGCAGUGUACCCGCGGCAAGACGGAAAGACCCCGUGAACCUUUACUAUAGCUUGACACUGAACAUUGAGCCUUGAUGUGUAGGAUAGGUGGGAGGCUUUGAAGUGUGGACGCCAGUCUGCAUGGAGCCGACCUUGAAAUACCACCCUUUAAUGUUUGAUGUUCUAACGUGGACCCGUUACCCGGGUUGCGGACAGUGUCUGGUGGGUAGUUUGACUGGGGCGGUCUCCUCCUAAAGAGUAACGGAGGAGCACGAAGGUUGGCUAAUCCUGGUCGGACAUCAGGAGGUUAGUGCAAUGGCAUAAGCCAGCUUGACUGCGAGCGUGACGGCGCGAGCAGGUGCGAAAGCAGGUCAUAGUGAUCCGGUGGUUCUGAAUGGAAGGGCCAUCGCUCAACGGAUAAAAGGUACUCCGGGGAUAACAGGCUGAUACCGCCCAAGAGUUCAUAUCGACGGCGGUGUUUGGCACCUCGAUGUCGGCUCAUCACAUCCUGGGGCUGAAGUAGGUCCCAAGGGUAUGGCUGUUCGCCAUUUAAAGUGGUACGCGAGCUGGGUUUAGAACGUCGUGAGACAGUUCGGUCCCUAUCUGCCGUGGGCGCUGGAGAACUGAGGGGGGCUGCUCCUAGUACGAGAGGACCGGAGUGGACGCAUCACUGGUGUUCGGGUUGUCAUGCCAAUGGCACUGCCCGGUAGCUAAAUGCGGAAGAGAUAAGUGCUGAAAGCAUCUAAGCACGAAACUUGCCCCGA
RNAcentral lists this ribosomal RNA (1397 nucleotides) under Salmonella enterica. RNAcentral's name for it is "partial 23S ribosomal RNA". It matches the Rfam family "Bacterial large subunit ribosomal RNA", at positions 1422 to 2802 of the family's 2925-position model. Lineage: Bacteria; Pseudomonadati; Pseudomonadota; Gammaproteobacteria; Enterobacterales; Enterobacteriaceae. The record is from RNAcentral. RNAcentral also lists the same sequence under 1 other name.